RNAcentral lists this ribosomal RNA (280 nucleotides) under uncultured bacterium. Its description in RNAcentral is "partial 16S ribosomal RNA". It matches the Rfam family "Bacterial small subunit ribosomal RNA", at positions 82 to 354 of the family's 1533-position model. The record is from RNAcentral.
CCGUUGCCGGCGACCGGCGCACGGGUGAGUAACACGUAUGCAACCUGCCCGUGGCAGGGGGAUAAGCGGGGGAAACCCCGUCUAAUACCGCGUAACGCGGCCUAGGGACAUCCCCAAAGGGCCGCCAAAGGGAGCAAUCCCGGCCACGGAUGGGCAUGCGGCGCAUUAGCUAGUCGGCGGGGUAACGGCCCACCGAGGCGACGAUGCGGUAGGGGUUCUGAGAGGAACGGCCCCCACACUGGUACUGAGACACGGACCAGACUCCUACGGGAGGCAGCAG